CGUUUUUCCUGGCAGUCUAGAAUGCGGAUGCCGUGGGAGGAAUGUGUGGUGUAGCGGUGAAAUGCAUAGAUAUCACACAGAACACCGAUUGCGAAGGCAUCUCACGAAUCCGCAAUUGACGCUGAGGCACGAAAGCGUGGGGAUCAAACAGGAUUAGAUACCCUGGUAGUCCACGCUGUAAACGAUGAUGACUAACCGUCGGCGAUAUACAGUCGGUGGCCAAGCGAAAGCGAUAAGUCAUCCACCUGGGGAGUACGACCGCAAGGUUGAAACUCAAAGGAAUUGACGGGGGCCCGCACAAGCGGAGGAACAUGUGGUUUAAUUCGAUGAUACGCGAGGAACCUUACCCGGGCUCGAACGGCAGAUGAAUUGAGUAGAGAUAUUCAAGUCUUCGGACAUCUGUCGAGGUGCUGCAUGGUUGUCGUCAGCUCGUGCUGUGAAGUGUCGGCUUAAGUGCCAUAACGAGCGCAACCCUUGCCGUUAGUUGCCAUCAGGUUAUGCUGGGGACUCUAGCGGGACUGCCACCGCAAGGUGUGAGGAAGGGGGGGAUGACGUCAAAUCAGCACGGGCUCUUACGUCCGGGGCGACACACGUGUUACAAUGGCGAGUACAGAGGGAAGCUACCUGGCGACAGGAUGCAGAUCUCGAAAGCUCGUCCCAGUUCGGAUUGGAGUCUGCAACCCGACUCGAUGAAGUUGGAUUCGCUAGUAAUCGCCGCAUCAGCCAUGGCGCGGUGAAUACGUUCCCGGGCCUUGUACACAC
This 762-nucleotide ribosomal RNA is filed under the name uncultured bacterium. Its description in RNAcentral is "bacterial SSU rRNA". It matches the Rfam family "Bacterial small subunit ribosomal RNA", at positions 625 to 1390 of the family's 1533-position model. The record is from RNAcentral.